UUUCGAGCGCCCGAGGUAUCGUCAUUUCCUCUUCCUGUCCGGCUGAGGGGGCGGGGACGUGUGGGUAAGCGGAGUCGCUGGGUAAUGCGCCAUGUGAGGCGCGGUGGGACUGUCGUUCCUGGACCAACGCCGAGACUUCCUAAAUCCCUCCGGAAAGGGAUGCGUUGGGCCUGUGAUCUGGCGACUAGGAGGGUCAGGAGUCCCAGUAGAGGGAAUCACGGGAAAAGAAUGAAAGAGGGAGGCGAGCCUGGCACGGCUUCCUGGAGAAACAAACUAAGCUAACAAAUUUUUCGGAUCCUUUGUGCAGCUAAUUUUACAGUACUGUUUCAUACAUCUUAUUAUAUUUGGACAUCACGGCCUGUUGAGUGGUCUCCCUCUCUGCUGCAAGCUCUGCUGUAAUCCAGAGACACUCAAUUAUCUCUGUAGGAUAAUUUAUUCAUUCGAUUAACAUACAUUACUACUAACUUUUUAUAAACCAGUACUGUUCCAAGCACCGGAGAUACAUAGCUAUGAACGAAACAAAUAUCCCUGCUCAGGGAAUUCACAAUAGAGUGAGGGGAAAUAAGCGAAUAAACAAUGAAUCUCUUGUUCUGAGGGAAGCCAUGUACAUCAUUAGCAGUUCUAUAAAGAGGAUCACAUGGCAAGAAACUGAAACAUUCUGCCAGCUGCCCUGUGAAAGAACUUGGAAGUAGACCCUCCAGCCCUAAUCAAGUCUUCAGAGACUGUACUCAGCCAACAAUUGACUGCAACCUCAUAAGAGACCCUGAGCCAGACCGCCCAACGAGAAACUGUGUGAGAUAAUGUUUGUUGUAUUAAGAUGCUAAAUUUGAGGGUCAUUUGUUAUACAAUGAGAGAAGUAGGAGGUAAGGGACUAUGAAAAGUUGGUAGAGUCAAGAAGUUGUAGGUUCCUGUGGUGGUCUAAAGUUUGUUAGAACAGGAUACUCAAAAGAAUGUGCUAAGAUAAGAGGUGGUCUGAGAGUAGGCUGCUUGGAGCUGAGUGUAUGCAGAGGUUGUGGUUAUUGGUGCUGUCAAAGUCUAUGGUAUGACCAAAGGAGGGAAAGCUAAGGUGGGUUAAAGAACAAGAUCACUGGAGAAGAGGUCAUAGAAACCAAACACCAGAGCAUUGAUUGGAUGAUCCAUGAGGAUACUGAAAUCACCAAAAAAUAUAACAAGAAUGAUGUUGGAGAAAGCCAGAAGCAACAAUCUUGAAAAGGCUUGGAGGUUGGUGGGUAAGUAUAGCUUGGAAACCCAAGCAUGGUAUAUUCUGGUGACAUGAGGUUCAAAGUUGGAGGUGAGGUUAAGAAAAAGGGAGGAUGUGGUUUAGCAAAAGCACUGAGUAACUGAAUAGCAAGAAGGAAACCCAUCCCACCUCCACCCAGAGGGGCAAGGAACAGAAAACAGCUACUAUUAGACUAUGGAAAUUAUGUUAGACAAAAAACAAAUGCAAGCAGUUUUCUUAUUCGAGUUCAAAAUGGGCUGCAAAGCAGCAGAGACAACUUGCAACAUCAAGAGUGCAUUUGGCCCAGGAACUGCUAAUGAACGUACAGUGCAGUGGUGGUUCAAGAAGUUUUGCAAAGGAUGGCCAGGC
Molecule: long non-coding RNA, 1588 nt
Filed under: Homo sapiens (human)
Lineage: Eukaryota; Metazoa; Chordata; Mammalia; Primates; Hominidae
Description: HSALNT0365578
Source: RNAcentral